CGGAAUCUGUGUGUGACUCAGCCAUCACAAAGUUGUCCGAGAAAUGGAAAGCACAUGGGCAAUGUAAGCCAGGCUGAUAUGUGUUGGGGAAGGAGUUCAUCAUGGCUUGUUCCCUCCAGACUCUCUUACUGGUUCAGCUCGUCUUCUGCACCUCAGUCUGUCUCUCCAAAUUCCUGAGCUGCAUGACUGUGAUUUUUGUCCAAUGAUGACUUCCAAUCUCAAUAAGGCUUUUUUUUUUAUGGAAUACUUAAUGGGUAGAUCAUGUACCUC
Long non-coding RNA from Python bivittatus (Burmese python), 270 nucleotides. RefSeq lists it as uncharacterized. The record is from RefSeq and is a predicted model, not a curated record. NCBI's taxonomy places the organism in Eukaryota, Metazoa, Chordata, Lepidosauria, Squamata, Pythonidae.